UACGAGGGGUGCAAGCGUUGCUCGGAAUUAUUGGGCGUAAAGGGUAGGUAGGUGGUCUUAUUUGUCUGAUGUGAAAGCCUUGGGCUUAACCCAAGAAGUGCGUCAGAAACGGUAAGACUAGAGUCCUGGAGAGGGUCGUGGAAUUCCCGGUGUAGCGGUGAAAUGCGUAGAGAUCGGGAGGAACACCAGAGGCGAAGGCGGCGACCUGGACAGGCACUGACACUCAACUACGAAAGCGUGGGGAGCAAACAGG
RNAcentral lists this ribosomal RNA (253 nucleotides) under uncultured bacterium. RNAcentral describes it as "partial 16S ribosomal RNA". It matches the Rfam family "Bacterial small subunit ribosomal RNA", at positions 524 to 776 of the family's 1533-position model. The record is from RNAcentral.